RNAcentral lists this ribosomal RNA (448 nucleotides) under uncultured bacterium. Its description in RNAcentral is "bacterial SSU rRNA". It matches the Rfam family "Bacterial small subunit ribosomal RNA", at positions 918 to 1373 of the family's 1533-position model. The record is from RNAcentral.
GGCCCGCACAAGCAGUGGAGUAUGUGGUUUAAUUCGAAGCAACGCGAAGAACCUUACCAGGUCUUGACAUCCCGUGCAUAGCAUAGAGAUAUGUUAAGUCCUUCGGGACACGGAGACAGGUGGUGCAUGGUUGUCGUCAGCUCGUGUCGUGAGAUGUUGGGUUAAGUCCCGCAACGAGCGCAACCCUUAUCGUUAGUUACUACGUAAGAGGACUCUAGCGAGACUGCCGUUGACAAAACGGAGGAAGGUGGGGAUGACGUCAAAUCAUCAUGCCCUUUAUGACCUGGGCUACACACGUACUACAAUGGUAGGGACAGAGGGCAGCCAACCCGCGAGGGCGAGCUAAUCCCGUAAACCCUGCCUCAGUUCAGAUUGCAGGCUGCAACUCGCCUGCAUGAAGGCGGAAUCGCUAGUAAUCGCAGGUCAGCAUACUGCGGUGAAUCCGUUC